UGAGGAAUAUUGCCCAAUGGAGGAAACUCUGAGGCAGCGACGCCGCGUGGGUGAAGAAGGUCUUCGGAUCGUAAAGCCCUUUUCUGCGUGACGAGGAAGGACGGUAGCGCAGGAAAAAGUCUCGGCUAACUACGUGCCAGCAGCCGCGGUAAAACGUAGGAGGCAAGCGUUAUCCGGAGUUACUGGGCGUAAAGCGCGCGCAGGCGGAUGGAUAAGUGGGUUGUGAAAGCGCUCGGCUAAACCGGGCGAGGACAAAUCAGACUGUUCAUCUAGAGGCGGAUAGAGGAGCGUGGAAUUCCGGGUGUAGCGGUGAAAUGUGUAGAGAUCCGGAGGAGCACCAGUGGUGCAAACGACGCUCUGGGUCCGAACUGACGCUGAGGCGCGAAAGCGUGGGGAGCGAACG
This 403-nucleotide ribosomal RNA is filed under the name uncultured bacterium. RNAcentral's name for it is "bacterial SSU rRNA". It matches the Rfam family "Bacterial small subunit ribosomal RNA", at positions 355 to 774 of the family's 1533-position model. The record is from RNAcentral.